This 1245-nucleotide long non-coding RNA is filed under the name Lactuca sativa (garden lettuce). Its description in RNAcentral is "long non-coding RNA (LSAT_LNC005522)". The record is from RNAcentral. Lineage: Eukaryota; Viridiplantae; Streptophyta; Magnoliopsida; Asterales; Asteraceae.
GUGAAUUUAUAUGAAUAUUUAGUCAAAGAUAUGAAUUUUGGUUGAAUGAAUCAAUUUCUAUUGGCUUUUGAUUGUUGGAAAUGAUAAAAGUUAAAAAAGUGGGUGAAAAAGUGACAUUUUCUGCAUAAAGUAAGCUGCCACUCCACACAUUUCAGCAAAAAGGGCACAAGUUGUCAGUUCAAAGCAUUCGGGAAGGUUAGAUUCGCUUUUAUGGAAAUAUAGGGGUUAGAUUCGGAAUUAUUGACAAAAAUUGUUUAGUUUCGCAUUUAUGGGUGAAAAUCUGUCAUUAUAUUAAAGUAAGAGGGAUGUUUUCGCGCAUCUGGUCAUCUGAUCAGAAUUCAUUCCAUUGUUCGUUCCUUGAACCGGCAUUGACGAACAUAUUAUAAGCGAAAGUCAAUAAGAGAAAGUCAGAUUCGCAGGUUUCUUAUCUGUGAAGCGAACGUUCGCUUUGAGUGUUUGUUGAAUGCAUUUUUCAAAGACUUAUGACGAACUGUUAACGAACGGAUGAGCAAUUGGUCAUAGUUUGAAAAGUCAAAAUUGACUAUGAACAAUGGACGAAUGAUGAGUUCCUGCGAACGAAUGAAAUCAGAAUCAUGACUACAAUCGGGAGUGUAAUCGGGGAGGUUGUGUGCUUAUUCACAAUUGAAAGUCAAAGGCACAUUCAGAAAAGUCAAAAUUGUUGUGAACCUCUCUUACCUGCGAAAGUUCGUAAUAUCAGUAAAACGAAUCAUCUUGGAUUCGGAGUUACUGUUGAUUCACGAUAUGAAUUGUGAUCGAUGCGAAAGGUAUUGGAAUCGGGGCUUAUGUCAAAAUCGAUUGUGUGAUGCGAACAAAAUCAGAUCCGUAACUGGAAUGGGCAAUGGUCGAACAGUUGGUCUAAACGAAAAGUCAAAAUUGCCUUGAAAGUCCUUCCUGCGAACGUUCGCUUUGGGGGUAUAAUCGACUGACUCGGAACGAACUUGGGUUCGUAUGUUUGUGCUUGGAACGAAAGGCGGGACUGGGCUCGGAUUCGCACUCAAGAACCUGUGAUUGGAUUCGUUUUGGUGGAGAUUCGCUUUGGGUGUAGUCGUGUAGAAUCAACAAACUUGGAAUGAAUGGUGGCACUAAACUCGGAUUCUGAGUCCCAUAGGCACGAAUGUCUGAAAACGAACCGUGUGCUCGGAACGAAAGUAUGAUUCGUGGCUAUUGAUUUUGGAGGUCACGCAUUCGUUCUAGUCGCUGUGUUCAUUUUAUCAGGAAUUAAAU